GGAAUCUUGCGCAAUGGGCGAAAGCCUGACGCAGCAACGCCGCGUGCGGGAAGAAGGCUUUCGGGCUGUAAACCGCUUUCAGCAGGAACGAAAAUGACGGUACCUGCAGAAGAAGGAGCGGCCAACUAUGUGCCAGCAGCCGCGGUGAUACAUAGGCUUCAAGCGUUGUCCGGAUUUAUUGGGCGUAAAGAGUUCGUAGGCGGUCAAGUAAGUCGGGUGUGAAAAUUCUGGGCUUAACCCAGAGACGCCACCCGAUACUGCUUAACUUGAGUUCGAUAGGGGAGUGGGGAAUUCCUAGUGUAGCGGUGAAAUGCGCAGAUAUUAGGAGGAACACCGGUGGCGAAGGCGCCACUCUGGAUCGAUACUGACGCUGAGGAACGAAAGCAUGGGUAGCAAACAGGAUUAGAUACCCUGGUAGUCCAUGCCGUAAACGGUGGGCACUAGGUGUGGGAUUCUAUUAACGAAUUCCGCGCCGUCGCUAACGCAUUAAGUGCCCCGCCUGGGGAGUACGGUCGCAAGACUAAAACUCAAAUGAAUUGACGG
RNAcentral lists this ribosomal RNA (543 nucleotides) under uncultured bacterium. Its description in RNAcentral is "bacterial SSU rRNA". It matches the Rfam family "Bacterial small subunit ribosomal RNA", at positions 358 to 916 of the family's 1533-position model. The record is from RNAcentral.